RNAcentral lists this ribosomal RNA (306 nucleotides) under uncultured bacterium. RNAcentral's name for it is "partial 16S ribosomal RNA". It matches the Rfam family "Bacterial small subunit ribosomal RNA", at positions 507 to 807 of the family's 1533-position model. The record is from RNAcentral.
GACAGCAGUCGCCGCGGUAAUACAGAGGGUGCGAGCGUUAAUCGGAUUUACUGGGCGUAAAGCGUGCGUAGGCGGCUUCUUAAGUCGGAUGUGAAAUCCCUGAGCUUAACUUAGGAAUUGCAUUCGAUACUGGGAAGCUAGAGUAUGGGAGAGGAUGGUAGAAUUCCAGGUGUAGCGGUGAAAUGCGUAGAGAUCUGGAGGAAUACCGAUGGCGAAGGCAGCCAUCUGGCCUAAUACUGACGCUGAGGUACGAAAGCAUGGGGAGCAAACAGGAUUAGAUACCCCCGUAGUCCCUGUCUCUUAUAC